GUAGGUGGCAAGCGUUGUCCGGAAUUAUUGGGCGUAAAGCGCGCGCAGGCGGUUCUUUAAGUCUGAUGUGAAAGCCCACGGCUCAACCAUGGAGGGUCAUUGGAAACUGGAGAACUUGAGUACAGAAGAGGAAAGCGGAAUUCCACGUGUAGCGGUGAAAUGCGUAGAGAUGUGGAGGAACACCAGUGGCGAAGGCGGCUUUCUGGUCUGUAACUGACGCUGAGGCGCGAAAGCGUGGGGAGCAAACAGGAUUAGAUACCCUGGUAGUCCACGCCGUAAACGAUGAGUGCUAAGUGUUAGGGGGUUUCCGCCCCCCUUAGUGCUGCAGCUAACGCAUUAAGCACUCCGCCUGGGAGUACGGCCGCAAGGCUA
This 372-nucleotide ribosomal RNA is filed under the name uncultured organism. Its description in RNAcentral is "partial 16S ribosomal RNA". It matches the Rfam family "Bacterial small subunit ribosomal RNA", at positions 527 to 896 of the family's 1533-position model. The record is from RNAcentral.